GGUUGGGAAAACGCAUAACCUGAGUAGAGGGGGGGGGAGGGGGAAUUCCUUGUGUAGCGGGGGAAAAGGUUUAGAUUUUAGGAGGGAAUACCCAGCGGGGGAAGGCGGACUUCUGGAAUUUUAACUGACGCUGAGGGUUACGAAAGCGGGGGGAGGCAAACCAGGAUUAGAUACCCUGGUAGUCCACGCUGUAAACGAUGAGUGCUAGGUGUCGGGAGGUCAAAUCUCGGCGCCGCCGCUAACGCAUUAAGCACUCCGCCUGGGGAGUACGUACGCAAGUAUGAAACUCAAAGGAAUUGACGGGGACCCGCACAAGCAGCGGAGCAUGUGGUUUAAUUCGAAGCAACGCGAAGAACCUUACCAGGGCUUGACAUAUACAGGAAUAUGCUAGAGAUAGCAUAGUCCCUUCGGGGACUUGUAUACAGGUGGUGCAUGGUUGUCGUCAGCUCGUGUCGUGAGAUGUUGGGUUAAGUCCCGUAACGAGCGCAACCCCUAUCUUUAGUUACCAUCAGGUCAUGCUGGGGACUCUAGAGAGACUGCCGGUGAUAAACCGGAGGAAGGUGGGGAUGACGUCAAAUCAUCAUGCCCUUUAUGUCCUGGGCUACACACGUGCUACAAUGGUCUGAACAAAGCGCAGCGAACUCGUGAGAGCAAGCGAAUCGCAUAAAACAGAUCUCAGUUCGGAUUGUAGGCUGCAACUCGCCUACAUGAAGUCGGAGUUGCUAGUAAUCGUGAAUCAGAAUGUCACGGUGAAUGCGUUCCCGGGUCUUGUACACACCGCCCGUCA
RNAcentral lists this ribosomal RNA (787 nucleotides) under uncultured bacterium. RNAcentral's name for it is "bacterial SSU rRNA". It matches the Rfam family "Bacterial small subunit ribosomal RNA", at positions 623 to 1399 of the family's 1533-position model. The record is from RNAcentral.